Molecule: ribosomal RNA, 566 nt
Filed under: uncultured bacterium
Lineage: Bacteria
Description: partial 16S ribosomal RNA
Rfam family: Bacterial small subunit ribosomal RNA
Source: RNAcentral
UGGGGAAUAUUGCACAAUGGGCGAAAGCCUGAUGCAGCAACGCCGCGUGAGGGACGACGGCCUUCGGGUUGUAAACCUCUUUUAGCAAGGAAGAAGCGAAAGUGACGGUACUUGCAGAAAAAGCGCCGGCUAACUACGUGCCAGCAGCCGCGGUAAUACGUAGGGCGCAAGCGUUAUCCGGAAUUAUUGGGCGUAAAGAGCUCGUAGGCGGUUUGUCGCGUCUGCUGUGAAAACCCGAGGCUCAACCUCGGGCCUGCAGUGGGUACGGGCAGACUAGAGUGCGGUAGGGGAGAUUGGAACUCCCGGUGUAGCGGUGGAAUGCGCAGAUAUCAGGAAGAACACCGAUGGCGAAGGCAGAUCUCUGGGCCGUAACUGACGCUGAGGAGCGAAAGGGUGGGGAGCAAACAGGCUUAGAUACCCUGGUAGUCCACCCGUAAACGUUGGGAACUAGUUGUGGGUCCAUUCCACGGAUUCCGUGACGCAGCUAACGCAUUAAGUUCCCCGCCUGGGGAGUACGGCCGCAAGGCUAAAACUCAAAGGAAUUGACGGGGUCAUAGCUGUUUCCU